RNAcentral lists this ribosomal RNA (357 nucleotides) under uncultured bacterium. RNAcentral's name for it is "partial 16S ribosomal RNA". It matches the Rfam family "Bacterial small subunit ribosomal RNA", at positions 523 to 878 of the family's 1533-position model. The record is from RNAcentral.
AUACGUAGGGGGCGAGCGUUGUCCGGAAUGAUUGGGCGUAAAGGGCGCGUAGGCGGCCCGGUAAGUCUGGAGUGAAAGUCCUGUUUUUAAGAUGGGAAUUGCUUUGGAUACUGUCGGGCUUGAGUGCAGGAGAGGUAAGUGGAAUUCCCAGUGUAGCGGUGAAAUGCGUAGAGAUUGGGAGGAACACCAGUGGCGAAGGCGACUUACUGGACUGUAACUGACGCUGAGGCGCGAAAGUGUGGGGAGCAAACAGGAUUAGAUACCCUGGUAGUCCACACUGUAAACGAUGAAUGCUAGGUGUAGGGGGUAUCGACCCCUUCUGUGCCGCAGUCAACACAAUAAGCAUUCCGCCUGGGG